UACGUAGGGUGCGAGCGUUGUCCGGAAUUAUUGGGCGUAAAGAGCUUGUAGGCGGUUUGUCGCGUCUGCUGUGAAAAUCUGGGGCUCAACCCCGGACGUGCAGUGGGUACGGGCAGACUAGAGUGCGGUAGGGGAGACUGGAAUUCCUGGUGUAGCGGUGAAAUGCGCAGAUAUCAGGAGGAACACCGAUGGCGAAGGCAGGUCUCUGGGCCACUACUGACGCUGAGAAGCGAAAGCAUGGGGAGCGAACAGG
This 253-nucleotide ribosomal RNA is filed under the name uncultured bacterium. RNAcentral's name for it is "partial 16S ribosomal RNA". It matches the Rfam family "Bacterial small subunit ribosomal RNA", at positions 524 to 776 of the family's 1533-position model. The record is from RNAcentral.